GACGAACGCUGGCGGCGUGCUUAACACAUGCAAGUCGAACGGAAAGGCCCUGCUUUUGUGGGGUGCUCGAGUGGCGAACGGGUGAGUAACACGUGAGUAACCUGCCCUUGACUUUGGGAUAACUUCAGGAAACUGGGGCUAAUACCGGAUAGGAGCUCCUGCUGCAUGGUGGGGGUUGGAAAGUUUCGGCGGUUGGGGAUGGACUCGCGGCUUAUCAGCUUGUUGGUGGGGUAGUGGCUUACCAAGGCUUUGACGGGUAGCCGGCCUGAGAGGGUGACCGGCAACAUUGGGACUGAGAUACGGCCCAGACUCCUACGGGAGGCAGCAGUGGGGAAUAUUGCACAAUGGGCGGAAGCCUGAUGCAGCAACGCCGCGUGCGGGAUGACGGCCUUCGGGUUGUAAACCGCUUUCGCCUGUGACGAAGCGUGAGUGACGGUAAUGGGUAAAGAAGCACCGGCUAACUACG
RNAcentral lists this ribosomal RNA (466 nucleotides) under uncultured bacterium. RNAcentral's name for it is "partial 16S ribosomal RNA". It matches the Rfam family "Bacterial small subunit ribosomal RNA", at positions 28 to 505 of the family's 1533-position model. The record is from RNAcentral.